UGUCCAGCAACUCCUAUCCCUGCCUCCUCGUGGUACUGGCCGGGGUACGAGUAACCUUGGGCAAGAUCAGGUAACCAGCCCCGUUGGCAAUUUUGGUCUUAUAUUGACAGGGAAGG
RNAcentral lists this ribozyme (116 nucleotides) under Aedes aegypti (yellow fever mosquito). Its description in RNAcentral is "drz-agam-1 ribozyme". It matches the Rfam family "drz-agam-1 ribozyme". Lineage: Eukaryota; Metazoa; Arthropoda; Insecta; Diptera; Culicidae. The record is from Rfam by way of RNAcentral.